Molecule: ribosomal RNA, 440 nt
Filed under: uncultured bacterium
Lineage: Bacteria
Description: partial 16S ribosomal RNA
Rfam family: Bacterial small subunit ribosomal RNA
Source: RNAcentral
CCUACGGGUGGCAGCAGUGGGGGAUAUUGCACAAUGGGGGGAACCCUGAUGCAGCGACGCCGCGUGGGUGAAGGAGCGUUUCGGCGCGUAAAGCCCUAUCGGCAGGGAAGAAGAUGACGGUACCUGACCAAGAAGCCCCGGCUAACUACGUGCCAGCAGCCGCGGGAAUACGUAGGGGGCAAGCGUUAUCAGGAUUUACUGGGUGUAAAGGGGGCGCAGACGGCAAUGCAAGCCAGGAGUGAAAGCCCGGGGCCCAACCCCUGGACUGCUCCUGGAACUGCAUGGCUGGAGUACAGGAGGGGCAGGCGGAAUUCCUAGUGUAGCGGUGAAAUGCGUAGAUAUUAGGAGGAACACCAGUGGCGAAGGCGGCUUACUGGACUGUAAAUGACGCUGAGGCUCGAAAGCGUGGGGAGCAAACAGGAUUAGAUACCCGUGUAGUC